GUGCACGCCCACCAUCCUCAUCUCUCCACCUGUGCACCUCUUGUAGACUUGGAUUGACUUUCCGAGGCAACUCGGUCGGGAGGAUUGCCGGCGCCAGCUGGCUUUCUUUGCAUUUCCAGGUCUACGUUUUUCAUAUACCCCAUUGUAUGUAACAGAAUGUAACAUUGGGCACUUGUGCCUAUAAACUUUAUACAACUUUCAGCAACGGAUCUCUUGGCUCUCGCAUCGAUGAAGAACGCAGCGAAAUGCGAUAAGUAAUGUGAAUUGCAGAAUUCAGUGAAUCAUCGAAUCUUUGAACGCACCUUGCGCUCCUUGGUAUUCCGAGGAGCAUGCCUGUUUGAGUGUCAUUAAAUUCUCAACCUUUAUCAACUUUUGUUGAUAAUGGCUUGGAUAUGGGGGUUUAUUUUGCUGGCUUCUUUACAGAUGGUCAGCUCCCCUUAAAUGCAUUAGCCGGUGCCCCGCGUGGACUGUCUAUUGGUGUGAUAAUUAUCUACGCCGUGGACAUCUGCAAUCAUAUGGGUUUGCACUGCUUCCAACUGUCUGUUGAAUCAGACAAUACAUGACAAUUUGA
RNAcentral lists this ribosomal RNA (571 nucleotides) under uncultured Hebeloma. RNAcentral describes it as "eukaryotic LSU rRNA". The stretch from base 194 to 347 matches the Rfam family "5.8S ribosomal RNA". Lineage: Eukaryota; Fungi; Basidiomycota; Agaricomycetes; Agaricales; Cortinariaceae. The record is from RNAcentral.